GGGUUGUGAGGUUAAGCGACUAAGCGUACACGGUGGAUGCCCUGGCAGUCAGAGGCGAUGAAGGGCGUGCUAAUCUGCGAUAAGCGCCGGUAAGGUGAUAUGAACCGUUAUAACCGGCGAUACCCGAAUGGGGAAACCCAGUGUGAUUCGUCACACUAUCAUUAACUGAAUCCAUAGGUUAAUGAGGCGAACCGGGGGAACUGAAACAUCUAAGUACCCCGAGGAAAAGAAAUCAACCGAGAUUCCCCCAGUAGCGGCGAGCGAACGGGGAGGAGCCCAGAGCCUGAAUCAGCAUGUGUGUUAGUGGAAGCGUCUGGAAAGGCGCGCGAUACAGGGUGACAGCCCCGUACACAAAAGCGCAUGUGCUGUGAGCUCGAUGAGUAGGGCGGGACACGUGGUAUCCUGUCUGAAUAUGGGGGGACCAUCCUCCAAGGCUAAAUACUCCUGACUGACCGAUAGUGAACCAGUACCGUGAGGGAAAGGCGAAAAGAACCCCGGCGAGGGGAGUGAAAAAGAACCUGAAACCGUGUACGUACAAGCAGUGGGAGCACCCUUUGGGGUGUGACUGCGUACCUUUUGUAUAAUGGGUCAGCGACUUAUAUUCUGUAGCAAGGUUAACCGCAUAGGGGAGCCGUAGGGAAACCGAGUCUUAACCGGGCGUUAAGUUGCAGGGUAUAGACCCGAAACCCGGUGAUCUAGCCAUGGGCAGGUUGAAGGUUGGGUAACACUAACUGGAGGACCGAACCGACUAAUGUUGAAAAAUUAGCGGAUGACCUGUGGCUGGGGGUGAAAGGCCAAUCAAACCGGGAGAUAGCUGGUUCUCCCCGAAAGCUAUUUAGGUAGCGCCUCGUGAAUUCAUCUCCGGGGGUAGAGCACUGUUUCGGCUAGGGGGCCAUCCCGGCUUACCAACCCGAUGCAAACUGCGAAUACCGGAGAAUGUUAUCACGGGAGACACACGGCGGGUGCUAACGUCCGUCGUGAAGAGGGAAACAACCCAGACCGCCAGCUAAGGUCCCAAAGUCAUGGUUAAGUGGGAAACGAUGUGGGAAGGCCCAGACAGCCAGGAUGUUGGCUUAGAAGCAGCCAUCAUUUAAAGAAAGCGUAAUAGCUCACUGGUCGAGUCGGCCUGCGCGGAAGAUGUAACGGGGCUAAACCAUGCACCGAAGCUGCGGCAGCGACACUGUGUGUUGUUGGGUAGGGGAGCGUUCUGUAAGCCUGUGAAGGUGGCCUGUGAGGGUUGCUGGAGGUAUCAGAAGUGCGAAUGCUGACAUAAGUAACGAUAAAGCGGGUGAAAAGCCCGCUCGCCGGAAGACCAAGGGUUCCUGUCCAACGUUAAUCGGGGCAGGGUGAGUCGACCCCUAAGGCGAGGCCGAAAGGCGUAGUCGAUGGGAAACGGGUUAAUAUUCCCGUACUUGGUGUUACUGCGAAGGGGGGACGGAGAAGGCUAUGUUGGCCGGGCGACGGUUGUCCCGGUUUAAGCGUGUAGGUGUGUGUUCCAGGUAAAUCCGGUUCACUUUAACACUGAGGCGUGAUGACGAGGCACUACGGUGCUGAAGCAACAAAUGCCCUGCUUCCAGGAAAAGCCUCUAAGCAUCAGGUAACAUCAAAUCGUACCCCAAACCGACACAGGUGGUCAGGUAGAGAAUACCAAGGCGCUUGAGAGAACUCGGGUGAAGGAACUAGGCAAAAUGGUGCCGUAACUUCGGGAGAAGGCACGCUGACACGUAGGUGAAGUGAUUUACUCAUGGAGCUGAAGUCAGUCGAAGAUACCAGCUGGCUGCAACUGUUUAUUAAAAACACAGCACUGUGCAAACACGAAAGUGGACGUAUACGGUGUGACGCCUGCCCGGUGCCGGAAGGUUAAUUGAUGGGGUCAGCGCAAGCGAAGCUCCUGAUCGAAGCCCCGGUAAACGGCGGCCGUAACUAUAACGGUCCUAAGGUAGCGAAAUUCCUUGUCGGGUAAGUUCCGACCUGCACGAAUGGCGUAAUGAUGGCCAGGCUGUCUCCACCCGAGACUCAGUGAAAUUGAACUCGCUGUGAAGAUGCAGUGUACCCGCGGCAAGACGGAAAGACCCCGUGAACCUUUACUAUAGCUUGACACUGAACAUUGAGCCUUGAUGUGUAGGAUAGGUGGGAGGCUUUGAAGCGUGGACGCCAGUCUGCGUGGAGCCAACCUUGAAAUACCACCCUUUAAUGUUUGAUGUUCUAACGUGGACCCGUAAUCCGGGUUGCGGACAGUGUCUGGUGGGUAGUUUGACUGGGGCGGUCUCCUCCUAAAGAGUAACGGAGGAGCACGAAGGUUGGCUAAUCCUGGUCGGACAUCAGGAGGUUAGUGCAAUGGCAUAAGCCAGCUUGACUGCGAGCGUGACGGCGCGAGCAGGUGCGAAAGCAGGUCAUAGUGAUCCGGUGGUUCUGAAUGGAAGGGCCAUCGCUCAACGGAUAAAAGGUACUCCGGGGAUAACAGGCUGAUACCGCCCAAGAGUUCAUAUCGACGGCGGUGUUUGGCACCUCGAUGUCGGCUCAUCACAUCCUGGGGCUGAAGUAGGUCCCAAGGGUAUGGCUGUUCGCCAUUUAAAGUGGUACGCGAGCUGGGUUUAGAACGUCGUGAGACAGUUCGGUCCCUAUCUGCCGUGGGCGCUGGAGAACUGAGGGGGGCUGCUCCUAGUACGAGAGGACCGGAGUGGACGCAUCACUGGUGUUCGGGUUGUCAUGCCAAUGGCACUGCCCGGUAGCUAAAUGCGGAAGAGAUAAGUGCUGAAAGCAUCUAAGCACGAAACUUGCCCCGAGAUGAGUUCUCCCUGAGACUUAGAGUCUCCUGAAGGAACGUUGAAGACGACGACGUUGAUAGGCCGGGUGUGUAAGCGCAGCGAUGCGUUGAGCUAACCGGUACUAAUGAACCGUGAGGCUUAACCUUACAACGCCGAAG
This 2926-nucleotide ribosomal RNA is filed under the name Salmonella enterica. RNAcentral describes it as "bacterial LSU rRNA". It matches the Rfam family "Bacterial large subunit ribosomal RNA". RNAcentral also lists the same sequence under 1 other name. Lineage: Bacteria; Pseudomonadati; Pseudomonadota; Gammaproteobacteria; Enterobacterales; Enterobacteriaceae. The record is from RNAcentral.